GGCAAUACAGCUAGGCACAAAGCAACAGAGUUGUAGAGUGGUACUUUCCUGCCACUGCUUAAUAUUUCUUACAUGAGGACUACUUUACCUUUUUAUAGCCAGGAGCAGAGCGGCAGUCUGAACGUAUAGGAUGGCUUCUAACUUGACAACGUGACUUUUCAGCAGAGCAGGUACUGCUGGGAGCCUUGAGCCUUGAGCCUUGAGCUGGUACUGCCUCUGGUGGAACACCGCUGGUUUCCUACCUCUGGUGGGAAGAGUUUGUGGGCGUCUUAUGCCAUGUUGAUGCUAUCCCUGCAGGAAUAAAGGCUAGCACAAAGGAGACGAUGUCUGCCAUGGUUUGUCUGGCUGGGGCCUGUGCAGGCAACUCCACUGAACUGAUGCUGUGUGACUCUCCCAGCUUCCAAUUGCAUGUGACUGGGUACACGGACUGGCACAAAUCCCAACUCCUCAGUUAGAACACGAUUUAAAGGAGAAACCAGACUCACUGACCUAAAUCACUGCCAGUCCUCUCUGGAUGCGGGGACAGCUGUCGACUAGCAGUGACACAACCAGCCAUCAAGCGGAGAAUUUCUACGACUACAGUCUGUGUACAGGUGGAGCCUGGGAGAGUGACAGUCUGAUUUCGAUUUGCUGAAGGCUUCUUAUGCCCCUAAAUAAGUAUGCUCGCUCGGUAUACAGUUGUCUGGAUUAGUCUGCCUUCUGUACAGUCUUUGCCUGCUCUAGUUGGAAAUCAGGGUGCCAAGCAAGCACCUUUCUUUCUUUGGACUGGUUCCUUUCUGUGUGAUGUUUGCAACUAGGAUGGGUCACACUGACAACAAAGAAGGAAGCAGAAAGCGCCACUUCACCUUCUCUUGUGAUGUUAACGGAACAUAGCUCUUCUUUGCAAUGAUGCCCUUGGGUGUGUGUUCGUGUGUGUGUGUGUGUGUGUGUGUGUGUGUGUGUGUGUGUGUGUGUGUGUUAAUUCAUCUAAUUGAAGAGUCUCACAGAUAUCAUCAUGGAUGUGGUCCUUAAUGAUUUGGAGAAAUAAAAAAAAGACAGCCUGUGGAGACAGCAAUUUGAAACAGCAGCACAUUUAGGUUAUUGCCAUUUUGAAAUACUUUGGUUUGUGAAGCUGAGCCCUAAGGGACAAACCUGGUAACUGAGGAAGAGAUUAUAGAUAAAGAAAUAAAAAUGACGAGCAUAAUGGAGCCUCUGUGAAAGGACUGUCAGAGCAUCAGUUCAUGGAUGGCAAUUUUGCCAGGCUGAGAUUGAAUAAUUCAUAGAUUGAAAUUACCCUGCCUUCACCUUUCCAUUUAAACUAGCAUGAUCUGAAUCGCUAAUAAAUUUUCAAGAUAAAGUAAAAUGCCAAUUUGAAUCUGAAGAGCUUUUAAAACCAGAUGCUGCAUUCCUGAAUCUUUUGGUAUCUUUCACAAUUAUACUGUGAGAACUGCACUUCGUCACGAAGCACCAUUACCAGGGAAAAUUACUGUGAUUACAAUAGCAACAAUAGAAUACCAUCAAAUGAUCUCUAAUUUACCUAAUUUACAAAGUCGGUGUGGUUUUAAUGCCCAUUGUAUGUCACCAUGCCUGGCACCCGUGAAUCCAUCUUGCACUGGGAAGAAAAAAAAAAGUGAAGCAGUGUGUUUAACACCUUAACUCUGAGAGUCUAGCAAAGAGCAUCCUCCUAGCUUAUAGCGUUUCUCCUUUGAGGAAAUAGGGAAAGCCUUCUGUGGAUUUGGAGGAUUUAUUGUUAUAGGAGAAAGAUAAAUUUGUUAAUUUAUAUACCUUGACUAUUUAAAAUGUAUACAAAUAUGUGUUCACUGAAAGGGAGUAAAGAUUCUGGGAGAGUAGUUUAAAAAUGCUGCCAAAAUGAAACAUAUGCCUUUUUCUCUUCUCUCAAAAAACGUAUUUGCUUUCAGGUUUGAGUUCCUUUCAGGGAUUAUAAUGCUGGUGUAAUUUGUGAAAAACCUCUCACACUGGAAAGAAGCUUGUAAGGUCCACCCUUAAUAACUUUGUGUGCAGUUCUUAUUAAAAGAUGGUUUGUUCUAUCAAGUUAAGCGUGGGUAUUUGUGCCACCUUUAGAAAGGACAAUGGUUCAUAAAGCCUCACUGAAGAGCAGAGUCCAGUCAUAUAAUAGGCAUGGUGAUUUCUGGAAUGUUUUUGUCGGUACCAUGAAGACUCUAUUGAUGUAUCCUGUUAAUCAAGAGAUUUCUCUAAGUUUGAUUAACUAAGGCAAAGUUUCCAAGGAAUAACAAUCCUUGGGAAGGAAGGUAGAUUUGAAAGGUAACUGGCUAACAUUGUGGAUGUUUUGCUUGAGACCUUUAGCUAUGAUGUGUUCUUCAAUCCAUUAUCACUGCUUUAGACCAGCCUCCUGUAUUCAACACCCUUGCAAAUACCUCUGUUAGAAGCAGAGCACUGAUCACCUCUGGCUCGUGGUGGUGCAGAAGACUGAACCUGGGACUUUGGAGCCUCAGCAUGAGAGUCUCUUUGCAUAACCAUAUCUACCCCUGCC
This is a long non-coding RNA of Erinaceus europaeus (western European hedgehog), 2491 nucleotides long. RefSeq lists it as uncharacterized. The record is from RefSeq and is a predicted model, not a curated record. Lineage: Eukaryota; Metazoa; Chordata; Mammalia; Eulipotyphla; Erinaceidae. The transcript is spliced from 3 exons.